RNAcentral lists this ribosomal RNA (261 nucleotides) under uncultured bacterium. Its description in RNAcentral is "partial small subunit ribosomal RNA". It matches the Rfam family "Bacterial small subunit ribosomal RNA", at positions 26 to 291 of the family's 1533-position model. The record is from RNAcentral.
AGGACGAACGCUGGCGGCGUGGAUUAGGCAUGCAAGUCGCGCGACAGACCUUCGGGUUAUGGAGCGGCGAACGGGUGAGUAACACGUGAGAAAUCUACCUUUACGUUCCGGAUAAUUGGAAGAAAUUCCUUGUAAUACGGGGGAGGUUCCUACUUUGGCAUCAGAGAAGGAACAAACGAGCAAUCGGCGCAAAGAUGAUCUCGCGGCUUAUCAGGUAGUUGGUGGGGUAACGGCCUACCAAGCCUACGACGAGUAGCUGGU